CGGAGGGAUCAUUAAAGAGUUCUAUAACUCCCAAACCCAUGUGAACAUACCUAACGUUGCCUCGGCAGGUCGCACCUACCUUGUAGCACCUUACCCUGUAAGGCCUACCCGGGAGGUGCGGGUAAGCCUGCCGGCGGCCCACCAAACUCUGUUUGAUAUUGAAUUCUGAACCUAUAACUAAAUAAGUUAAAACUUUCAACAACGGAUCUCUUGGUUCUGGCAUCGAUGAAGAACGCAGCGAAAUGCGAUAAGUAAUGUGAAUUGCAGAAUUCAGUGAAUCAUCGAAUCUUUGAACGCAUAUUGCGCCCAUUAGUAUUCUAGUGGGCAGGACCGUUCGAGCGUCAUUUCAACCCUUAAGCCUUCGUUGCUUAGUGUUGGGAGCCUACGGCAACGUAGCUCCUCAAAGUUAGUGGCGGAGUUGGUUCACACUCUAGACGUAGUAAUUUUUUAUCUCGCCUAUUAGUUGAACUAAUACCCUGCCGUAAAACCCCCAAUUUAUCAAGGUUGACCUCGAAUCGGUUCAGACAAACUCGCUAAAUUGAAGCAUCUUAGUCAGCGAAGGAAAAGAAACCAACAGGGAUUGCCCUAGUAACGGCGAGUGAAGCGGCAACAGCUCAAA
This 619-nucleotide ribosomal RNA is filed under the name fungal endophyte. RNAcentral describes it as "eukaryotic LSU rRNA". The stretch from base 191 to 344 matches the Rfam family "5.8S ribosomal RNA". Lineage: Eukaryota; Fungi. The record is from RNAcentral.